This 78-nucleotide transfer RNA is filed under the name Planctopirus limnophila DSM 3776. RNAcentral describes it as "tRNA-Pro". It matches the Rfam family "tRNA". Rfam says of the family: Transfer RNA (tRNA) molecules are approximately 80 nucleotides in length. Their secondary structure includes four short double-helical elements and three loops (D, anti-codon, and T loops). RNAcentral also lists the same sequence under 1 other name. Lineage: Bacteria; Pseudomonadati; Planctomycetota; Planctomycetia; Planctomycetales; Planctomycetaceae. The record is from RNAcentral.
CGGGAUGUAGCUCAGCCUGGCUAGAGCACCUGGUUUGGGACCAGGAAGUCGCAGGUUCAAAUCCUGUCAUCCCGACUA